Molecule: ribosomal RNA, 888 nt
Filed under: uncultured bacterium
Lineage: Bacteria
Description: bacterial SSU rRNA
Rfam family: Bacterial small subunit ribosomal RNA
Source: RNAcentral
GUGCCAGCAGCCGCGGUAAUACGGAAGGUCCGGGCGUUAUCCGGAUUUAUUGGGUUUAAAGGGAGCGCGGGCGGCCUGUCAAGCGUGACGUGAAAUGCGGUGGCUCAACCACUGGAGUGCGUCGCGAACUGGCGGGCUUGAGUGCGCUGGACGAGGGUGGAAUUUGCGGUGUAGCGGUGAAAUGCUUAGAUAUCGCGAAGAACUCCGAUUGCGAAGGCAGCUCUCGGCGGCGCUACUGACGCUGAUGCUCGAAGGUGCGGGUAUCGAACAGGAUUAGAUACCCUGGUAGUCCGCACGGUAAACGAUGGAUGCCCGCUGUGCGCCUUUCAUGGUGCGUGGCCAAGCGAAAGCGUUAAGCAUCCCACCUGGGGAGUACGCCGGCAACGGUGAAACUCAAAGGAAUUGACGGGGGCCCGCACAAGCGGAGGAACAUGUGGUUUAAUUCGAUGAUACGCGAGGAACCUUACCCGGGCUUGAACUGUGGAGGCAUGCGGUGGAGACGCCGCAGCUCUUCGGAGUCUCCAUGGAGGUGCUGCAUGGUUGUCGUCAGCUCGUGCCGUGAGGUGUCGGCUUAAGUGCCAUAACGAGCGCAACCCCUGUCCCCAGUUGCCAUCGGUUUGAGCCGGGCACUCUGUGGAUACUGCCGCCGCAAGGUGGAGGAAGGUGGGGACGACGUCAAAUCAGCACGGCCCUUACGUCCGGGGCUACACACGUGUUACAAUGGCGCGUACAGAGGGCUGGCCGCCGGCGACGUCGGCCUAAUCCCCAAAACGCGUCUCAGUUCGGACCGGGGUCUGCAACCCGACCCCGCGAAGCUGGAUUCGCUAGUAAUCGCGCAUCAGCCAUGGCGCGGUGAAUACGUUCCCGGGCCUUGUACACACCGCCCGU